RNAcentral lists this ribosomal RNA (446 nucleotides) under uncultured bacterium. Its description in RNAcentral is "bacterial SSU rRNA". It matches the Rfam family "Bacterial small subunit ribosomal RNA", at positions 28 to 457 of the family's 1533-position model. The record is from RNAcentral.
GAUGAACGCUGGCGGCGUGCUUAACACAUGCAAGUCGAACGGGAAAUAUUUCAUUGAGACUUCGGUGGAUUUGAUCUAUUUCUAGUGGCGGACGGGUGAGUAACGCGUGGGUAACCUGCCUUAUACAGGGGGAUAACAGUCAGAAAUGGCUGCUAAUACCGCGUAAGCGCACAGAGCUGCAUGGCUCAGUGUGAAAAACUCCGGUGGUAUAAGAUGGACCCGCGUUGGAUUAGCUAGUUGGUGGGGUAACGGCCCACCAAGGCGACGAUCCAUAGCCGGCCUGAGAGGGUGAACGGCCACAUUGGGACUGAGACACGGCCCAGACUCCUACGGGAGGCAGCAGUGGGGAAUAUUGCACAAUGGGGGAAACCCUGAUGCAGCGACGCCGCGUGAAGGAAGAAGUAUCUCGGUAUGUAAACUUCUAUCAGCAGGGAAGAUAGUGACGG